This 220-nucleotide non-coding RNA is filed under the name Bythopirellula goksoeyrii. Lineage: Bacteria; Pseudomonadati; Planctomycetota; Planctomycetia; Pirellulales; Lacipirellulaceae. The record is from RNAcentral.
UGAGAUCCCCGUCCAGUAGAGCCUGACCAGCAACUGGAAGCGAGUGUUGCGUGGUGUUGGAGUAAUCUGCGUCACGAAGCGUACACAGCGAAUCCGAAAGCCAUGCUAUUGAGCGUCGAAAGACCCAAUCGUGGGAGCCUUUGCCUUUUGGUCACCAGGGGCCACGCUGCUGCACUUUAUGGUCUGGUGCAAGCAGUCCUGCCGGCGUCGGUUUGGAACA